This 250-nucleotide ribosomal RNA is filed under the name uncultured bacterium. RNAcentral describes it as "partial 16S ribosomal RNA". It matches the Rfam family "Bacterial small subunit ribosomal RNA", at positions 57 to 305 of the family's 1533-position model. The record is from RNAcentral.
GCAAGUCGAACGGUAACAUAGCUAGCUUGCUAGCUGAUGACGAGUGGCGGACGGGUGAGUAACGCGUAGGAAUCUACCUAUUAGUGGGGGACAACAUGGUGAAAACCAUGCUAAUACCGCAUACGCCCUACGGGGGAAAGCGGGGGAUCUUCGGACCUCGCGCUAAUAGAUGAGCCUGCGUUAGAUUAGCUAGUUGGUGGGGUAAUGGCUCACCAAGGCGACGAUGUCUAGGGGUUCUGAGAGGAUGAUC